This 540-nucleotide ribosomal RNA is filed under the name Nostoc sp. ISB55. RNAcentral's name for it is "bacterial SSU rRNA". It matches the Rfam family "Bacterial small subunit ribosomal RNA", at positions 102 to 676 of the family's 1533-position model. Lineage: Bacteria; Bacillati; Cyanobacteriota; Cyanophyceae; Nostocales; Nostocaceae. The record is from RNAcentral.
ACGGGUGAGUAACACGUGAGAAUCUGCAUUCAGGUCGGGGACAACCACUGGAAACGGUGGCUAAUACCGGAUGUGCCGAGAGGUGAAAGGCUUGCUGCCUGGAGAUGAGCUCGCGACUGAUUAGCUAGUUGGUGGUGUAAGGGACUACCAAGGCGACGAUCAGUAGCUGGUCUGAGAGGAUGAUCAGCCACACUGGGACUGAGACACGGCCCAGACUCCUACGGGAGGCAGCAGUGGGGAAUUUUCCGCAAUGGGCGAAAGCCUGACGGAGCAAUACCGCGUGAGGGAGGAAGGCUCUUGGGUUGUAAACCUCUUUUCUCAAGGAAUAAGUUCUGAAGGUACUUGAGGAAUAAGCAUCGGCUAACUCCGUGCCAGCAGCCGCGGUAAUACGGAGGAUGCAAGCGUUAUCCGGAAUGAUUGGGCGUAAAGAGUCCGUAGGUGGUUGUGAAAGUCUGCGGUCAAAGAGCAAGGCUCAACCUUGUAAAGGCAGUGGAAACUACACAGCUAGAGUGCGUUCGGGGCAGAAGGAAUUCCUGGUGU